GUCCGCGUAGCUCAGUUGGAAGAGCAUUGGGCUAGUAUUCCAAAGGUCGUAGGUUCGAAUCCCGCCGUGGCCA
Molecule: non-coding RNA, 73 nt
Organism: Paramuricea clavata
Lineage: Eukaryota; Metazoa; Cnidaria; Anthozoa; Malacalcyonacea; Plexauridae
Source: the annotation of a GenBank genome assembly